RNAcentral lists this ribosomal RNA (253 nucleotides) under uncultured bacterium. RNAcentral describes it as "partial 16S ribosomal RNA". It matches the Rfam family "Bacterial small subunit ribosomal RNA", at positions 524 to 776 of the family's 1533-position model. The record is from RNAcentral.
UACAGGGGGUGCAAACGUUGCUCGGAAUUAUUGGGUGUAAAGCGCGCGUAGGCGGCCACUUAAGUCGGAUGUGAAAGCCCUUGGCUCAACUGAGGAAGUGCACCCGAAACUGAAUGGCUUGAGUACUAAAGAGGGUCGCGGAAUUCCCGGUGUAGAGGUGAAAUUCGUAGAUAUCGGGAGGAACACCGGUGGCGAAGGCGGCGACCUGGGUAGAUACUGACGCUGAGGUGCGAAAGCGUGGGGAGCAAACAGG